Molecule: ribosomal RNA, 384 nt
Filed under: uncultured marine Chaetocerotaceae
Lineage: Eukaryota; Bacillariophyta; Thalassiosirophyceae; Chaetocerotales; Chaetocerotaceae
Description: SSU rRNA
Rfam family: Eukaryotic small subunit ribosomal RNA
Source: RNAcentral
AGCUCCAAUAGCGUAUAUUAAAGUUGUUGCAGUUAAAAAGCUCGUAGUUGGAUUUCUGGUGGGAGGGAUCGGUCUUGCAUUCUUUGUAAGCACUUGUAUCCUCUCCGGCCAUCCUUGGGUGGAUCUUGUCUGGCAUUAAGUUGUCAGGCAGGGGAUGCCCAUCGUUUACUGUGAAAAAAUUAGAGUGUUCAAAGCAGGCUUAUGCCAUUGAAUAUAUUAGCAUGGAAUAAUAAGAUAGGGCCCUGGUACUAUUUUGUUGGUUUGCGUACCGAGGUAAUGAUUAAUAGGGACAGUUGGGGGUAUUUGUAUUCAGUAUUCAGUGGUGAAAUACUUAGACCUACGGAAGACAAACUACUGCGAAAGCAUUUACCAAGGAUGUUUUCA